AUACAGAGGGUACAAAUGGUAUUGUAAGUUGGUAAUCAGUUUCCUCUUUCCUAUGAUUUAUUUUGUAGGGAUCCUUUUCCACUAGUUGUUGUUACGGAAGUGCGGAUUGAGUAAUUACCAAUAUUAUGGUGAUUGUGAAUUCUGAAGAAAUAUAAAUGUAAAAAAUAAAACAUAAUAAUUUACAUGGUUUAGCGUAAAGCUUAGGCCCACUGACAAAGAAUGGAAGAUAAUUUUUCUAACAAAUGAGAAUUUAUAAAAUUGGAAAAAACUCUCAAAACCCAAAGCUCAAUACACCUAAAUGAAUCCUUACUAGAGCACUCAAGUAGAAGCUCUUUGAAAUCUCUCAAAUUAUUUCACUUGCAAUUGCUCUCAAC
This 374-nucleotide long non-coding RNA is filed under the name Citrus sinensis (sweet orange). RNAcentral's name for it is "long non-coding RNA (CSIN_LNC002476)". The record is from RNAcentral. Lineage: Eukaryota; Viridiplantae; Streptophyta; Magnoliopsida; Sapindales; Rutaceae.